ACUCCUACGGGAGGCAGCAGUGGGGAAUAUUGCACAAUGGGGCGCAAGCCUGAUGCAGCCAUGCCGCGUGUAUGAAGAAGGCCUUCGGGUUGAUAAAGUACUUUCAGUCAGUGAAGGAAGGUGGGUAUGUUAAUAGCAUACUCAUUUGACGUUAGCUGCAGAAGAAGCACCGGCUAACUCCGUGCCAGCAGCCGCGGUAAUACGGAGGGUGC
RNAcentral lists this ribosomal RNA (212 nucleotides) under uncultured bacterium. RNAcentral describes it as "partial 16S ribosomal RNA". It matches the Rfam family "Bacterial small subunit ribosomal RNA", at positions 335 to 535 of the family's 1533-position model. The record is from RNAcentral.